CGAAGGACGUGAUAAGGUGCGAAAAGCUACGGGGAUCGGCACACACGACUUGAUCCGUAGAUAUCCGAAUGGGGCAACCCAGUAUGUUGAAGACAUACUAUCCUAAUAGGAGGCGAACCUGCUGAACUGAAACAUCUAAGUAGGCAGAGGAGAAGAAAACAAAAGUGAUUCCGCAAGUAGUGGCGAGCGAACGCGGAAUAGCCCAAACCAAUGUUGUUACGGCAGUAUUGGGGGUGUAGGAC
This 242-nucleotide ribosomal RNA is filed under the name Vibrio vulnificus. Its description in RNAcentral is "partial 23S ribosomal RNA". It matches the Rfam family "Bacterial large subunit ribosomal RNA", at positions 50 to 306 of the family's 2925-position model. The record is from RNAcentral. Lineage: Bacteria; Pseudomonadati; Pseudomonadota; Gammaproteobacteria; Vibrionales; Vibrionaceae.